UACGGAGGGUGCAAGCGUUAAUCGGAAUUACUGGGCGUAAAGCGCACGCAGGCGGUUUUUUAAGUCAGAUGUGAAAUCCCCGGGCUCAACUUGGGAACUGCAUUUGAAACUGGCAAGCUUGAGUCUCGUAGAGGGAGGGAGAAUUCCAGGUGUAGCGGUGAAAUGCGUAGAGAUCUGGAGGAAUACCAGUGGCGAAGGCGGCCCCCUGGACGAAGACUGACGCUCAGGUGCGAAAGCGUGGGGAGCAAACGGG
RNAcentral lists this ribosomal RNA (253 nucleotides) under uncultured bacterium. Its description in RNAcentral is "partial 16S ribosomal RNA". It matches the Rfam family "Bacterial small subunit ribosomal RNA", at positions 524 to 776 of the family's 1533-position model. The record is from RNAcentral.